Molecule: non-coding RNA, 628 nt
Organism: Mustela lutreola (European mink)
Lineage: Eukaryota; Metazoa; Chordata; Mammalia; Carnivora; Mustelidae
Source: the annotation of a RefSeq genome assembly
CUUCAUGGUAAGAACGAAGAACAUUAUUUAGGUGACUCCAGAGAUGAAGUGUUCUCCUGGCUUUGUGACUGUGGUACUCUUAAUGCUUGGACAAAGCCGUGGAGACUCAGUGACUCAGACAGAGGGCCAAGUGACCCUCUCAGAAAAUGCUUUCCUGACUAUAAAUUGUACUUAUUCAGCAUCAGGAUACACUGUCCUUUUCUGGUAUGUCCAGUAUCCAGGAGAAAAUCUAGAGCUCCUCCUGAAAGCCUUGAAGGACAAGGAGAAAGGAAGCAACAAAGGAUUUGAAGCCACCUACGAUGGCAAAUCGAAAUCCUUUCACUUGGAGAAACGCUCAGUGCAAGCCUCAGAUUCAGCUGUGUACUACUGUGCCCUGAGGGACACAGUGAUAGGGACUCAAAGCUAUCCUAAAGGGCAGAAAGCUGAAAACAGAAAGCAAAACAGGAAGAACCUAUCAGCAGACCGUGCCAUCAAUAAUUUAGAAAAUGAGCUGUAUAUGGAUGGGGUGAACUUGUAUGAGAGACUAAAUAAGGAGAAACUCAGUCCUGGUGUAGAAGCACCUCAGUGUGUGCUGUGCCCUCCAGAAGGGGUUGGGGAAAAGGAGCACCACGUAUUUUUAGAUAAUUGA